GCGGUCGCUUUGAGCAAAUGGCGCAUGAAAUGUGUUCUCCACUGCCCUCCGAAGGCAGGGGUUGCUGGUUCGAUCCCAGCCGGGCGCGCCA
RNAcentral lists this transfer RNA (91 nucleotides) under Burkholderia sp. 4701. RNAcentral describes it as "tRNA-Arg". The stretch from base 21 to 88 matches the Rfam family "tRNA". From Rfam's summary of the family: Transfer RNA (tRNA) molecules are approximately 80 nucleotides in length. Their secondary structure includes four short double-helical elements and three loops (D, anti-codon, and T loops). The record is from RNAcentral. RNAcentral also lists the same sequence under 1 other name. Lineage: Bacteria; Pseudomonadati; Pseudomonadota; Betaproteobacteria; Burkholderiales; Burkholderiaceae.